UUGAACGCUGGUGGCAGGCCUAACACAUGCAAGUCGAGCGGAUGAAGGGAGCUUGCUCCUGGAUUCAGCGGCGGACGGGUGAGUAAUGCCUAGGAAUCUGCCUGGUAGUGGGGGAUAACGUCCGGAAACGGGCGCUAAUACCGCAUACGUCCUGAGGGAGAAAGUGGGGGGUCUUCGGACCUCACGCUAUCAGAUGAGCCUAGGUCGGAUUAGCUAGUUGGUGGGGUAAAGGCCUACCAAGGCGACGAUCCGUAACUGGUCUGAGAGGAUGAUCAGUCACACUGGAACUGAGACACGGUCCAGACUCCUACGGGAGGCAGCAGUGGGGAAUAUUGGACAAUGGGCGAAAGCCUGAUCCAGCCAUGCCGCGUGUGUGAAGAAGGUCUUCGGAUUGUAAAGCACUUUAAGUUGGGAGGAAGGGCAGUAAGUUAAUACCUUGCUGUUUUGACGUUACCAACAGAAUAAGCACCGGCUAACUUCGUG
This 483-nucleotide ribosomal RNA is filed under the name uncultured bacterium. RNAcentral describes it as "partial 16S ribosomal RNA". It matches the Rfam family "Bacterial small subunit ribosomal RNA", at positions 30 to 507 of the family's 1533-position model. The record is from RNAcentral.